This 163-nucleotide ribosomal RNA is filed under the name Poecilanthe grandiflora. Its description in RNAcentral is "5.8S ribosomal RNA". It matches the Rfam family "5.8S ribosomal RNA". Rfam says of the family: 5.8S ribosomal RNA (5.8S rRNA) is a component of the large subunit of the eukaryotic ribosome. The record is from RNAcentral. Lineage: Eukaryota; Viridiplantae; Streptophyta; Magnoliopsida; Fabales; Fabaceae.
UAACGACUCUCGGCAACGGAUAUCUCGGCUCUCGCAUCGAUGAAGAACGUAGCGAAAUGCGAUACUUGGUGUGAAUUGCAGAAUCCCGUGAACCAUCGAGUCUUUGAACGCAAGUUGCGCCCGAAGCCGUUAGGCCGAGGGCACGCCUGCCUGGGUGUCGCAC